GCCGACGUAGCUCAGCUGGUAGAGCAGCUCACUCGUAAUGAGCAGGUCAGCGGUUCGAGUCCGCUCGUCGGCU
This 73-nucleotide transfer RNA is filed under the name Myxococcales bacterium. RNAcentral describes it as "tRNA-Thr". It matches the Rfam family "tRNA". From Rfam's summary of the family: Transfer RNA (tRNA) molecules are approximately 80 nucleotides in length. Their secondary structure includes four short double-helical elements and three loops (D, anti-codon, and T loops). Further hydrogen bonds mediate the characteristic L-shaped molecular structure. tRNAs have two regions of fundamental functional importance: the anti-codon, which is responsible for specific mRNA codon recognition, and the 3' end, to which the tRNAs corresponding amino acid is attached (by aminoacyl-tRNA synthetases). tRNAs cope with the degeneracy of the genetic code in two manners: having more than one tRNA (with a specific anti-codon) for a particular amino acid; and 'wobble' base-pairing, i.e. permitting non-standard base-pairing at the 3rd anti-codon position. Lineage: Bacteria; Pseudomonadati; Myxococcota; Myxococcia; Myxococcales. RNAcentral also lists the same sequence under 8 other names. The record is from RNAcentral.